GGGGCAUUAGCGCAGUUGGGAGCGCGCAACACUGGCAGUGUUGAGGUCAGGGGUUCGAAUCCCCUAUGCUCCACCA
Molecule: transfer RNA, 76 nt
Filed under: Clostridia bacterium
Lineage: Bacteria; Bacillati; Bacillota; Clostridia
Also listed under: 2 other names
Description: tRNA-Ala
Rfam family: tRNA
About the family: Transfer RNA (tRNA) molecules are approximately 80 nucleotides in length. Their secondary structure includes four short double-helical elements and three loops (D, anti-codon, and T loops). Further hydrogen bonds mediate the characteristic L-shaped molecular structure. tRNAs have two regions of fundamental functional importance: the anti-codon, which is responsible for specific mRNA codon recognition, and the 3' end, to which the tRNAs corresponding amino acid is attached (by aminoacyl-tRNA synthetases). tRNAs cope with the degeneracy of the genetic code in two manners: having more than one tRNA (with a specific anti-codon) for a particular amino acid; and 'wobble' base-pairing, i.e. permitting non-standard base-pairing at the 3rd anti-codon position.
Source: RNAcentral